Pan troglodytes (chimpanzee) is the source of this 8260-nucleotide long non-coding RNA. RefSeq lists it as uncharacterized. Lineage: Eukaryota; Metazoa; Chordata; Mammalia; Primates; Hominidae. The transcript is spliced from 6 exons. The record is from RefSeq and is a predicted model, not a curated record.
GCAAUGCAAUAAAGAAUAAAAGCUCAUAAAAAUGCCAACCAGUUACCUUCAGCUCUGUGUAUGUGAGGCUGCUCUUUGCAAAGUCAGAUACAACAGCAACAUACAACAGGUUGAUUGAGAAAGCCCAGCCACUGGCACAGAGGUUAGAUAUGCCCCGGUGCUCCUGAACAGGAGAUGGAGCCGGACUCCUAUGAAUAGCCAAUUUCAUGAAAUCAUCUUUGAAAGAAGUGCUGACCUGCUUGGUGAAUGCUGGGAUCUCUGGAAGAGGGAGGCAGACAUCACACACCAGCUGGCAAGUGGGAGCUGGCAUGCAACAUGCCCCAAUACCACUCCCCUCCUGUCAUCCCUAUCUCCUAAUGGUGCCUCCUUUUGGCCAAACCCACCUUUGGCUGGAGGGCAACAGAGCCCAUUGACAUAGUCCCCUUGCAUCUGCUACCUGGGGAGAAAAGCAGGAUGGACACUGAAUCUAGAGAAAUGAAGGAACCCAUCCAGAAGAAUACUGCUUCUUUAUGCUUUUGUAGGUGUACAAAUCAGGCCUACCCAUGAUAUUCUAAACUCCUUGAGGAAAGAAGUGGAGUCCUGGGCUUCUGAUGCAGCCUCCACAGUGCUCAGGGGAUAGCGACACUGGCACCCUAUAGAUAUUUAAUUACAUGUGGACUGGAAGAGACCAAGCAGCUUCCUGGUAUUUCAAUCAAAUCCGGUGCUCUAGACCUGUGGCUCGCUCUGAGCAAACUAUAAUGAGUUGAACUUGAAUCUGAUUCCUGCUAAGAAAGGUUUCAUUUUAAUAGGCAGUAAGGCUAUGAGCUAACACCAGAACUCAUUCGAGUUACUAGACUCACUGAAACUCCUCACAGGAUCCAUCUUUCAUGUUUUCUAGAUUUUGGUAUUCUUAUCUAAACUGCAGACCCAGAAACCCUAUGGACCCUACCUUUCCAAUUAUAUUUCUGGGAAGAGUCAUUCUCUGCAGAGCUGAAGCACGUAACAGAAAGUUCUCAACCUGAAAAAUAUACCUUCUGCACCCAAGCCCCACUUUCUGCCACUAUUUGGUAAUCUCAGGUGGGUGAGGUGGUCUCUGAACUUCAGCACUCUCAUGGUCAGAGCCACAAGGGGUUACUGGGAGGCUAAAGGGAAGUGGCAAAUGUGGCUGAGAUUCAGAAAGAAAAGUAGCAAGUGUAGAGAGGCAAGGACUUUUCCAUCUUUCAAAUUCCUUAAAGGAAGCCAAAGUUCAUUUUCCAGUCUCCUUCAGAUGCCUCUCCAAUCCUUCACAGCAGCGCACACAUACCGCAGAAGGAACUCACCAUCACAAAAAGAUGACAGAGCACUGGGGGCUGGGGUGCCACUUGUGUUGGCUGAGAGCCUGGAUGCAUGUGAGGUCAAGCCUGACCUUGGGAAAGCUGCUCUCUGGACAUUACUUGCUGUGCCACACACACAGCUUGGGUUUCUGAGGAAACAACACAGGCUCUAAGGAGGAACUGGAACGGGGCCCAGGGUAUAUCUUUUACAGCCCUUACUUUUGAGGAAAAUAGAAGACAAAAGGUUUUUAAAAAACACAAAGUGUAUACACAAAGUUUACAAGUUUGUGUGUUUUAACAUCUACUCUCCUUAAGAAUAAGUAGACAGGAAAGAUAUUACCUGAUAUGGGUUAAAUUGUGUCCCCAAAAACAUGUUUUGAAGUGCUAACCUUUGGUACUUGUGGAUAUGACCUUGCUUGGAAAUAGGUUUUUGCAGACGUAACCAAGUUAAGAUGAGGUCAUAUUUGAUUAGGCUGAACCCUGAAUCCAGUAUGACUGGGGUCCUUAUAUAAACAAGAGAGACACACGCAGAGUGAAGAUGAUGUGUUGAAACACAGGAACAGUGUCAUGGGAUGCUGGGGACAGCAGUUGGAGUGAUGCAUCUAUGGGCCAAGGGAAUGCCAAGGAUUGCCAGCCAUCACCAGGAGAGAAGCAUGGGUACUGAUGCCCUCACAGAGCCCUCGGAGAGAGUCAACCCUGCUGACACCUUGAUUUCAGACUUCCAGCCUCCAGAACUAGCGGCCCAGCCCUUGGAAUAUGUUUCUGCCACAACAAGGAAUAUAGGAGGAGUUGAACAGGAAACCUGCCUCCUAUCAGAUUCACCUGAGGACGUGGGUUGUCACGAGCUCCCCAAACAAUAAAGCACUUUACGACAUAGGAGGCAUUAUUAUUAAGCUGUUUUCAGUCCCUGAUACCUGCAUGUUGUAGGACCAUGGUGCAUGAAGGAUUUUAAGGAGGCACUUUUGAAAUGUGAAAGGGACAUAGACUGUACAUCUGGAGCACAAAGGCAGGUUUAACCAGCUUUGUCCUGCUCGGCGCCAGUUGGAAGAGAGCAUCUGGCUUUGAAGUGUCUAAAGCCAGGCGUGACGCUGGAUUCUACAGCUGGGUUUUGCUUUGUCACCCAGGCUGGAGUGCAGUGGCGUGAUGGAGCUCAGUGCAGCCUUCAAUCCCUGGGCUCAAGGAAUCCUCUCACCUCAGCCUCCCAAAUAGCUAGGACUACAGGUACACACUACCACACCUAGCUAACUUUAAACUUUUUUUGUAGAUAUGGGGCCUUGCUCUGUUGCCCAGGCUGGUCUUGAACUUGCUGCCUCAAAGGAUUCCCCUGCAUUGGACUCCCAAAGUGCUGGGAAUACAGGCAUGAGCCACCAUGCCCAGCCUACCUCAUUUGUUGAUAGCACUGAUUCCUAGCAGGGUUAUUUUCAUUCCUGGCUUAAAAAAAAUAACUUACCCUAUUUGCACACUGGAGUGGAAGUAAUGCAUUCAGUAAUUUCAGAACCUGAGUGUUGGCUGACAUCAAGCAACUGAGAUACACUGCAGCUGCUGUUGGAGAAGGAGGCUGGAGGCUGACUCAUGUUAUGUUGGCUGGCAGGAGUUUGAGACCAGCCUGGGUGGCAUAGCGAUAUCCCUGUCCUGUCUCUAGAAAACUAAAAACAUUUAAAAAAAUACUGGCUGGAUUUUCUAGCCUGCCAGACUAAUCUUCUUGAAAGAUUUAGACAUAAAUAAUUUAUUUUAGCCUUUGUCAUUAUUACUGUUAUGAUUGUAAAAUAAUGAAUCUUUUAAGUAUUUUUUGAAUGCUCAAGGUAUAUCUCUGAAAGAGUACCAACCAAAUGCUGAUAUUAGGGAUUAAAUCCAGUUUUGAGAGAGACAGCAAUUCAUUCAAACUUGUUGCAUGCAGGAUCCUAUGUCAAAGUGUAUAUGAGACGGCACUCCGCUGGGUGGCGGCUGCUGUGGUUUGAAUCAUAUGCCUUAGUAUUGGUAUUUGACAAUAAGAGUUGUCAAACUGAAUUUCUAGUUGGAUGUAUAGCCAAGAAAAGAAGAAGUUCUGAGGGAGCGGGGAACUUUGAGGGGUGGAGUGGUCCCUCCAUGUACCCCUAUAUUACAGAUUGCAGGUUCAUACUGAGGAUUUUACCUUGAGCUUCUGGGCUCCCCAGAACACUUGUGUGUUUCCAUAAGGGCCUAGAAGAAGUGUCUUCUAUUCCCAUGGACACAAUGCCAGAAUGUGAUUCCCUGGUUUUAUUUUAAGCUCUUUCUUCCACCCAGAAACACAACCCACCACCCCUGAGAAAAGAUGGGAAAUAAGUGGAUUAAACCAAACAUUCAGAAGCUGCUCAAUACAUUUCCUUGUGCGCUAAAGAGGAGGUACAGUGCUGGGGUCGAGAAAGCAGGGAAGGAGUCAGGGCAUGGGCACCCAAACCACUUAUUGGCCAUGUGUUCUGAGACAGGCUUCCUUCCUGGGCCCUGUCUAAAAACAAUGGGCAUAAUGACAACACCUACCUUAUAUGGUUAUUGAGAAGAAGAGGAGUUAACGUAUGUAAAGGGCACGAACAGGUGUUCGACUUAUAUAUGGUAAGUGGUCAGUAAGUGUAGUUUUUCUCUAAAAGACAGUUCUCCAGGCAGAGCAAGUGAGGAGGCCUUUUUUCCGCCCCUCAGCCAUUCAGAACUGGAACGCAGUUGUAUUUGCCCAUGCAUGGAGAUACUUCAGCUUUCCCAGAACUGAGCCCAUUUGCUAACACUACCUUUUCCCUAAGCUUCCCCUUGAGUACCCCUCUCUCCAUCUAGCUGUGAAGCUCUGAAAUGAACUAGAUCCCCAAAUGGCUGGUGGAAGCUGUUGGAAUAGAGGUGUUAGAGGAGAAGGCAGAGAAAUGUGACAGGAAUCCAGCAGGAUGUAGGAGUAGCCUGAAUAUGCAAGGGAAAACCUUGAGGUCUUGGCCAGUUUACUGUUUCUAGGGCUAAAUGUACCACAUCAAAGAAGGGAAAGGGAAGUUGUUCACCCAAGAUCUUCAGUUUUCUUCCCCAUGGCCUCAUUAUAGUGCCUUGUUUCUCUCUUGGGACUUCUGUUUUCUCUGCCUUGUAUUAUCAUUGAGUUCUUAAUGUUAACAUUUUUGCUACAAUUGCAGUCUUAAUGGAGAAUAUGUUAAAGAACAUGUAGAGAUACUAAGAUCAGACAAAUUUCUCCAAUUUCCUUGUGCUUAAAAAAAUGUGUUAAGUAUUUACUAUCUCUUCUUUCUAUUGCCUUCGAAAGAGAAAGACACAUUUGUUGGCCAAGGCAUUGAUGUGCUUCCAGGGGUAGUGGGGUGAGAAGUCUAGUGGAAGGAGGUAGUUUUGGUGGGUGAAGGAGGUGGAGUGAGAGAGAGGAAAGGUGAGGUAAGAAAGAGAACUUGCAAAAGUUGAAGCUUUUACAAAGCAGGGAGGAGAUGAACUUGUAUCAGCUGUGGUGAUGUGGCUUUGGGCGAGAUGCGGAAAGAGACGAGAAAAGAACUUCAAAGGAAGGUAUUGUUAUGCAUUGGGUAGUGCGGGUCUCUCUUCACUUUGUCCUCCCUUUUAAAAUGAAAAGGUCUUCAUUAAAGAUGCUCAUUGCUCUUCAAGUCUUUGGAGUUGGGUUUGUGUUGUUUUGGAAAUCUCGCCAUGCUAAGUUGGGUAAGAAGAACUCACUUUAUUUUGGAGAAGUUAUAGGUCCCACUCAAGAAGCAAAACAAGGAAAGUUGAAGCUAAAAGGUGCCCCAAAAUGUCAAGGAUUGAGUGUGGCCACUUUACCCCCAGGUCUCAGCAGGUCUGAAUAAGCCAUAGUUCUAUCCAACAAAUAUUCACUGAUGCCCUUGGAAGAGAGGUAACAGACAAGUAUAUUAAGGCUUAGACAAGGAAACUGGCAAUUCUCACACAAUGAGCACCAGACUGUGGGAGCCCAAAAGAGAGACAUCAUUUGCAGACUUGAGAAGGGGCCCAAACUACGUUCUGAAAAGUGAAUAAGGUGUAGGAAGAUAAAGAAAGAAACGGAUGGGAUGGGUGAAUGCACUGAGCUGGGGAGAGGGAAGUUUUUCUCAGGCCAGCUGCAUCUUCUCUACUGGGCCUGGGGAGAAAGGUGUGCUGUGGGAGAGAGACUCCCUGGACCAAGGCCAGGCAAAACCAUGGACUGGACUUGUCUUGUUCUCAUGAUGUGAACUAGAUGCUGAUGCUGUAGUGAAAUUCUUGCACAAUGAUGUUCACAGACACAUUUCCCUGGACAUCUGUGUCUCCAUGGAGGCUAGGCUGAUGGUCCUGAAGAGGAAACUCUGAUUCCAGCACUGGUGGACUGUAAGGCUGAGUGAACAGCCCUCAUUCAGCUUAUGUGGGACUCCAAACCUCCAUGAGGAACCUAAUUCACUGGGAGUAGCGACGAUACCCAUAGAGAAAGGUGGUGGGAGUUACUGAUUGGAUGACAUUAGGGACUUGGGCCUCAGAACAGGGGGACAUUUUUCCAUUUGCUCUGGGUCUUUUUCCAACUUAAAGUCAGCCAGAUAUGCCACCUCUUCUAUUUGGCCCACACUUAACGACUUAGUUCUGACUGCUGCCUGCCUGUCCACACAUCCUAUGCCCAGGUUAGACCCAUGCUUCUUAACUAUCCUGGAGUCUGGACUACCAAAGAGAGAAGUAGCCCAUCUACUUCCCCUGGUCUUCCCUUCGUCAUCUCUGUCUGCCCCCCAGCAACCCCAGGAAAAUUGGGAAUCUGCUUCCUAGGCUGAUCUAGCAUCAAACAGACAUAGGAAUUUUAUGCCCCACCCCAAACUCCCGAAUUAACAAACUAAUUUUUUUGUUUAUUGCAUUGUUUCUUAUGCAUCCCCCUCCCUCAUCCACAUGUACAUGACCAUGGAGACUUCAUUUACUCAAGAAAUAAAUGACAGGAAACAAAGUAACAUAGUGUGUUUUUAGCAGGAACAAAAGCCUCAAUGUGAAGGCCUCAGAGUUGAAUUUCUGGCUCUUACUAGUUGGUGGGAAGAUUCUGUGGGGUAUAGUGUCAGGAAUUUUCCAUUCCUAAAAUCAAACCUGAUAAUUUGAACACCAGAAGAAAGUCUAGCAUAUAGUGAAUGGUUGUGCUUUGAAAUUCAGCAGAGAAAUGGAAUGGAUAUUUUGAGGGAUUAUAAUGAGGAGAGAAGUGAUUUAUUUAUUUUUUUAAAAAAAGAUGGACUAAACUAGAGCAUUCAUAUAUACCAGUGGGAAUGACCCCAUAGUGAGUAAUAAGUAAUGAUGCCAAAGAGGGGACAAUUGCAGGGACAAAAGCCGGGAUUAGCAAGAGGCACACACUGUCCUGAAAAAGUCCAGGAGCUGGCCUUUGAUAGGAGGAGGAUCAAUUCUUUCACUGUGUCAGGAAGGAAGAAAGAAUUAGGGUGGAUGUUCUCGUGGCUUGGGAGAUUCGAUGGUGGGAAGACACAGGUGCUUCUGUCUGAUUGAUUCUAGUCUCUUGAUGGCUUUUGGGUGACAUCAAGUUCUGCUGAGUGUGGUGUUGGUGAUGGGAGUAUGCACUGGAGAUUUGAUGACAGAAGAUGUAAAAGAACUCCAGGAAAUGUACAGUGGAAGUUACUAGGGAGUUGAGUGCUUAUCGGGAUUUUUAUCAUUACAUUGAGGUUACCUGACAUAAUAAUAUGAGUGGGGUUUAAAACUAGAAAUUCGUCCGGGCAUGGUGGCUCAUGCCUGUAAUCUUAGCACUUUGGGGGGCUGACGUGGGUGGAUUGCCUAAGUUCAGGAGUUCGAGACUACCCUGGGCAACAUGGUGAAACCCAGUCUCUACUAAAAUACAAAAAAUUAGCCGGGCAUGGUGGUGAGCAACUGUAGUCCCUGUUAUGCAGGAGGCUGAGGCAUGAGAAUUACUUGAAUCCAGGAGGUGAAGAUUGCAGUGAGCCAAGAUUGUGCUACUGCACCCCAGCCUGGGCGACCCAAAAAAAAAGAAGAAGAAGAAACGUUCAGCUGUUGGGGAGAAGGUUCAGGGUUCAGAGUGUGUGGACAUUUUGAUUUGACAAGGGUUGGGGUUUUUCUAGGUGUGUGUAAAAAAGGGAGGGGGUGAAUUUGUUAAAGAUGUUUUCAAUGGACUGACUGUCAUUUUGGGUCAGGGACUUUAGGCUGGGUAAAGUGGAAAGAGAAAUAAUGAGGGGGUAAUAGAGAGUGAAAUAGUGGUGGGUUUCAUGCAUAGAGGUUUCAUUGAAGUUGAAGAAUUGUUAGUGACUAGGAGUUUAAUGGUAGGCUGAAGAAUGACCUCCAAAUAGAUCCUGCUUUUGCAUCUGGAAUCUGUGAAUGUUACCUUAUGUGGCAAAAGUGACUUUGCAAUGUGAGGAUGCUCAGAAUCUUGAGAUGGGGAGAUUAUCCUGGAUUAUCUGGGUGGACCCUAAAUGUAAUCACAAGUACCCAGCUGUACAAUGAUGAUGGUGAGUGUGUGUGUAUGUGUGAAUGUGCUGUACAAGGUGGAUGGCCAAGGGGGUGGGUUACUCUGAAGUGGACCUGAGUCAGUAUCUAGACUCCAACAAUUACUAGUAGUAUAAAUUUGUACAAAUUACUAACCUCAGCAAGCUUUGAUUUUUCAUCUAUAAAAUAAUGUUGAUAAUCCUGUUCACUUUAUAAGGUAUUAUGAAGAUUAGGUAAAUUAAUCUUUAUAAAGCACACAACAUAAUCUCCAGCACAGAGUAAACAUAUUGUUAUUGUUAUUUUGUUAUUAUUUUGGAAGGAAUUCUGCAUUGCAAACACUGAGAUGUAGCUUUUAAGUUAGCAAGUGCCUGUUUGUAUUUAAGAAAAGCAGCUCUGCAGAAUCUUCAUAGUCAAAAAGAAAUGCUGCACCUAAUCAGGGAGUAUUGAUUAGAGGGUGUGCCCCAACCUCUGAGAUGUCUCUGCAAUCUGUUCAUAAAAUGGACAGUGAAGCAUGAAGUCAUAAAAUGUUUUAUGGAAUAACCCAUGAAAACUUCAACACUUCUGUAAUACUUCUUAAGAAUAAUUUAAACCAUUCA